Molecule: non-coding RNA, 94 nt
Filed under: human gut metagenome
Description: THF riboswitch
Rfam family: THF (Tetrahydrofolate) riboswitch aptamer
About the family: THF riboswitch presents a pseudoknot that joins P1-P2 and the loop of P3 and two THF binding.
Source: RNAcentral
CAGAGUAGAAGCAUGCGCGUCAAGUGCCCAUGGGACGGGGAGUUGCCCGUGGGACGAAGGGCUUACCCGCGGUGUACGCUUCGCAUCCCGCUGC